UUUCCUUACAUGAAAUCAGCGGUCGUCUACCUUCUGAACUGAAAGACAAACAAUUUUACUUAGCCUAGCAUAUUUGAUGAUUUACUGUUUGUUUACUUAUUUCUUCACUGCAAUUAACCACUAUGCAUUUGAGCAUUUGAUUCGUUAACUGAAUCUGAUUUCACGCAGACUUCAUGACUUUGACUUGCGAGAUUUGGUCCAACAUUGUGUUACACGCUUACAUUGGUGCUUUUCUGGAGUAACGAUCAAGCUGCAACAGUUUUGUGACUGCAGAAUCCAGCAGGGUAAAUCUUCGUUCCGUUUUGAUAAUCGACCGGUCACAUUGAUGCAAUCUUCUUGGUAUACCUAAUCAUCAUUGGAACUUAUUAGGUUUGCACUGGUAAAAUUAGCAAGUUGUAACUCUAGUAUGCAAGGUUGUUAGGUGCAUGAGGUUCAGAGGGUGUACUGUCAAAUUUCUUUUAUAUCUGAAAAGGACAUGUGAGCAAAUGGUGGAAGUACUUGUGUAGGGCUAUAACCCACAGAGCACCAUCUUUACACAUCACUACUGCACAGUAGUAAUUUGCACCACUAAAUGCCAAACCCCAUACAGUAACUCACAGAAAAGCUAAUGCCUGUGCUUCCCCUCUCUGUCUCUCCUCCACGCCUCCACCACUGUUUCUGCUUGCUGAUGUUGGAGAAGAUGAUCAGGGUUGUUGGUGUCGGUUGGUGGCAUCCAUUUCUGCUGCCUUUUUUUUUUUGUUCAGCCACUUGGCAUUGUGAUCUCCACAGCUGCUCUACAGAUUCCAGAGCUUGCCUGCACCAUUGUCUUCAUUAUGGGUGAGGGUGACAUCCACUUCUGAAACCAAAGCUCUUUCUAGCCUUGCAGGGUGUCUGAGGAGAAGAUAAACACGCUACACAGAAAUCAAUACACAAAGCAUGGUGAUCGGGGAUCACGAUCACGAUGAGAUGAGAUGAAAUACAGGAGGCAGCCUACUAGCUCAGAUUCCACGGUGAGCCAAGGUUCCAUUCCAUCAAUCCCAUGUACGUACUCCCUCUGCAAACUAAUAUAAGAUCAUUUAGAUCGCUACUUUAGUGAUCUAAACGAUCUUAUAUUAGUUUACAGAGGGAGUACUACUUUAUUUACUUAAGUCCAGCUUCAGACAAACCCCCAAGCUUGCUGUCUGUGUGGUGAGCAAGCUGUUUCUUUUCUCACACAAACCCCGGGACUAACAGCAGGUUGACAGAUCUAUUUGUAGCCUCUUAGUAGGUUUUUGCUAUAUGUCAUGACUCAUGACCUAAUCUUUGUUCGCAAUUUGAUGCCUGUCUGCCUGCAGUCAUGAAUUUCUUCAGCAAUCCUCAAAUGAGCUCAUGGUCUGCGUGUGUGCUACAGUGAAAUUAUAUGAUUCAGCAUGUGUAUCAACUCGGACACUUGGUAAACAGAUAUCAACUUGGUGAACGGAUGGAUACGGAAAACUUAUGAUUGAUGCUGGCUUGAUAGGUGCUGUUUGAUCCUCCCCCCUACACAGUCGGUGUCACAACGAACAUUGGAAGUUCAGACGGGAAGUUCACAACUUUUGACUUCGAGUCGCACGCGACCAAGUCAAGACCAAUAAUUCGGGUUAAAAAUAUCAUAAGGGAAAAAUUUAGGGUUGUCUACCUUCUGAACUGAAAGACUAAUACAGUUGUACUUAGCUUAGCACAUUCGAUGAUUCGAUGCUGCACUGUCUUAUUCCUUGUUUCUGUUUUGUGACUGCAGAAUUCAGCAGGGUGAAUUUCCGUUCCGUUUUGAAAACCGAGCAUUCAAAUUUCCGUUUUGCUCAGGUCACCUUGAUAUAUCUAAAUCAUCGUUGGAACUUAGGUUUGCACUGGUAAAAUUAGUAAGCUGUAACUCUAGUAUGCAAAGCUGUUAGGUGCAUGAGGGUGUGCUGUCAAAUUUCUUUUAUAUCUGAAAGGGACCUAUGAGCAAUUGGUGGAAGUACUUGUGUAGGGCUAUAACCCACAGAGCACCAUCUCUACACAUUACUACUACUGCACAGUAGUAAUUUGCACCACUAAAUGCCAAACCCCACACAUAACUCAAGUAAAAGCCAAUGCCUGUGCUUCCUCUCUCUGCCUCUCCUCCACCCCUCCAUCACUGUUUCUACUUGCUGAUGUUGGAGAAGAUGAUUAGGGUUGUUGGUGU
This 2161-nucleotide long non-coding RNA is filed under the name Triticum aestivum (bread wheat). Its description in RNAcentral is "long non-coding RNA (TAES_LNC004289)". Lineage: Eukaryota; Viridiplantae; Streptophyta; Magnoliopsida; Poales; Poaceae. The record is from RNAcentral.